RNAcentral lists this ribosomal RNA (141 nucleotides) under uncultured eukaryote. Its description in RNAcentral is "partial 18S ribosomal RNA". It matches the Rfam family "Eukaryotic small subunit ribosomal RNA", at positions 1299 to 1458 of the family's 1831-position model. The record is from RNAcentral.
UGGUGGAGUGAUUUGUCUGGUUAAUUCCGUUAACGAACGAGACCUCAGCCUGCUAAAUAGCUGGGCGGAGCUUCGGCUCCGAUUCUGGUCUUCUUAGAGGGACUUUUGGUGCGUAGCCAAAGGAAGUUUGAGGCAAUAACA